Molecule: ribosomal RNA, 58 nt
Filed under: Metarhizium anisopliae
Lineage: Eukaryota; Fungi; Ascomycota; Sordariomycetes; Hypocreales; Clavicipitaceae
Description: partial 28S ribosomal RNA
Source: RNAcentral
UCGAAUCAGGUAGGACUACCCGCUGAACUUAAGCAUAUCAAUAAGCGGAGGCAAGGAA